This 301-nucleotide unclassified non-coding RNA is filed under the name Rhizophagus prolifer. RNAcentral describes it as "partial contains 5.8S ribosomal RNA and internal transcribed spacer 2". The stretch from base 1 to 72 matches the Rfam family "5.8S ribosomal RNA", at positions 84 to 154 of the family's 154-position model. Lineage: Eukaryota; Fungi; Glomeromycota; Glomeromycetes; Glomerales; Glomeraceae. The record is from RNAcentral.
GUGAAUCAUCGAAUCUUUGAACGCAAAUUGCACUCUCCGGUUUUCCGGGAGAGUAUGCCUGUUUGAGGGUCUGUUUAAAAAAUAAUCGAGGCUGCUGCUGUGGUGGCGCUUCGGAAUUGGGUCAUCUUCCACCUUUCGGGGUUGUAAGCGACCUAAAAUUGAUACCUUGUGCAUCUCAGACGUACAUAAGAAUAUUUUUUUAUCCGUCCGGAGUUGCCAACUUUUAUUAGGUAUGACCAUAUUGUUUGUGGCAUCGUAUCUAUAAUAUAUACUCAUAUUUUGACCUCAAAUUAGGUAGGAG